GACGAACGCUGGCGGCGUGCUUAACACAUGCAAGUCGAACGGAAAGGCCCUGCUUGCAGGGUACUCGAGUGGCGAACGGGUGAGUAACACGUGGGUGAUCUGCCCUGCACUUCGGGAUAAGCCUGGGAAACUGGGUCUAAUACCGGAUAGGAGCCAUUUUUAGUGUGAUGGUUGGAAAGUUUUUUCGGUGUAGGAUGAGCUCGCGGCCUAUCAGCUUGUUGGUGGGGUAAUGGCCUACCAAGGCGGCGACGGGUAGCCGGCCUGAGAGGGUGGACGGCCACAUUGGGACUGAGAUUAGGCCCAGACUCCUAAGGGGGGCAGGAGUGGGGAAUAUUGCCCAAUGGGCGCCAGCCCUGUGCAGCGGCGCCGCGUGGGGGAUUACGGGCUUCGGGUUGUAAACUUCUUUCGCUAGGGACGAAGCUUUUUGUGACGGUACCUAGAUAAGAAGCACCGGCUAACUACGUG
This 465-nucleotide ribosomal RNA is filed under the name uncultured bacterium. RNAcentral describes it as "partial 16S ribosomal RNA". It matches the Rfam family "Bacterial small subunit ribosomal RNA", at positions 28 to 507 of the family's 1533-position model. The record is from RNAcentral.